GAAGCUAAGCUUCAUGGUCGUCACAAAUUAUCAAGCAGAAAAUGGCGAGGAGCAAUGGGCUCCGACGGGUCAAUUGCCUGAAAAAUUAACCUUCCUGAUCAAUAUCGUUGCCACAUAUCGAUUGGGAAGACCCAGAUAAACUGCCGAAUUGGUCUAAAGGACCGAUAUCGGAAGCUUUAAUCUGCCUGUGUAUGGCCACCUUUAAGCUUUAGUUCUCCUUUAAGAAACUCUUUGCGAAGAAUAUAUUAAAGGCGACACAAUGUUUUUUUUCUUGUCCAGAAAGUAAGACUGUCACACAAUGCCAGUGUGCUAUGGCUAAUAUUGCAACAAUAGAAAGAUGAUUUAAUUUUAUUCUUAGAAGUCAUGACUAUUUUCCCUAGAUGUAUAAAUAAACUCGGCUUUUGUGUCUCCCUCCUUCGUUGCUAUACUCAUGAGACAGGAAUUUAACUCCUCCUUAUCUCAGUAUGGUCUUCGCUGUACAAGCACUAUUUAUUUGGCAUCCCUUUCCUCCUCCAGAGCUUCUGCAUCACAUCUAUUCAGCUGCAACAGCCAGAAAAUAUGCAGCGGUCAGUUUUGUGUCAAAACAAUUGUUAACAGUUAAGCCUAGAUGUAUCCAGUGGACCACUCAUGUUUAUAUGAGAUAUACUUUCCAGGAAACAGGAAAUACAGAUUCAUUGUUUUCCACUCCAGAAAUGGGUAAUUCAAGGACAUCUCUUUAUGAAUAUGCAGUUGUAAAUAAAGACAGUUGUUUCCCUAGACAAUUUAAUUGGAUGUAAUAAAGAACACUGACAUGCAAACCUCUGGUUCCUUGUUUAACAUUCCUACUUCUGAAGCUCACACAGUUAUUAAUGCAGCUGUAUAAAGUCUGAAUAUAGACUUCUGAUCUGGGAUAAUUGUAUACAAAAUUAUGCCACAACACAUUACAUAAAGCCCGGAGGUUCUGUUGUAAUUUUUGGGCAUGUGUGAUUCACAUGGCAAAACUACAGGAAUAUGGUUGAUGCCACUGUUCUUGUCUACACUUUCUCAAGUUACUUACUAAGGUAAAAUAAAUCUUACUGCAGCAGUCAUCAUUUGAUAGGUUGUGGUAUAAAACUGGAAAUAUUGUAUCAGACUACUACGUUUUGCUGUUAUUUAAGAAUUAAGGCUGAUUCAUUUGUUUCGAUCCUGAAGCCUUUAGGGUUGAAGGUCCCUCUAAAGUUAGGAGUGCAUGUGGAGCAACUAGAUUUUCCAGUGUAGUCACUUUGGUUUGAAUUGGUAGUCCAACAGCUCACAUGGUUUCUCCAUUGUUUGUUUAAUGAUCCAAAGAAUUAGAGAUCCCUACUUGUGGUGCAUGCCUGGGGAAAAAUGGAGCCUUCAAAAGGGAACAUCUUGGUGCCACCUAUGUGAGAAAACCUUUUAUAAUACAAUUAGGGCUCUGUUGGUCCUUCUGUAAUUUGAAAUGUAACUUUGCGGUGAUAUUAGAGGCCUGUGCUGUCCCCAGAACCCUUCUAAAAGAGAAUUCAAUAUAGGCAAACCACGCAGAUUAGUAAUUAAGCUAAUGAGGCUGAUUUAUAAACCAAAGCUAAAUUGCAGAAGUGGUUGCCAAUCAGCAAUUAUUUUUGCAGAGUCUACUUACUACAAGUUGGAAAAUUAAAUCAAAGACCUGAUUGCAUUUAUGCAUCACCAUACCCCAUCUCAAUACAUGCAUGUGCAGGCCGAUAGCUGACUAUUGACAGAAUCCAACCAUUGAUUGCAGAUACUAGAUACACUUCUACAGUUUCAAUAGAAUUAUCCAAAAUAAAUAAAAGACAAUAUAUGAAGAAUGAAUUUGUCCAUUUGUCUCAUCCAGUAGCAGAAUUAGUGAAUGCUUUUAACUUUCUCUCUCACAUAAAACUGGCUUCACGAGAGAUGACAAGCUCUUUGCAACAAAGCACCCUCUAUUUUCCAACAGAGCAUGUGUGUCCCAGGCACUGAGAAUUUAGGGUCGUUGGGGAGGGUGUAUUGACUAAAUAAUACUAGCAUGUUAAGUGCAGAAUCUCUUGACAUUUGUAUUGCCUAAAAAAUACCACUGGGCAUCUGUGUUUACUUAGCUUAUAUGAAGUUGACCUUCCAAACAGAAGAAAGAAAUACAUUAACCAAUUAUCACUAUACAGCAGGUCUCGGGUCAGUAUUUUUAGCCAUUAAUUAUUAUCACAAAAUAAUUGUAAGCGCUAUAUUUGCUGCAGCAUUUAGUUUCAGCACAAAUGUAUUACCUAUAAAUAUUUGUAUGCAAACUUGUAGCCCCACAAAAAGUCAAAGCUCAAUUUUACAUACCCUGAUUUUAGGUUUUCCCUCAUUUUACAUUGUGUUUUUGUGGUCCCACCAAUAUAUGAUGCAUAAUAUGUUUUCUCCGGUUUUAAAUGUUACCGGUUUUACACCAUUAUUUUUUGGUUCCUCGAAAUACGUAAAAUGUGGGGGUUCUAUUGUACGUAUUUAUUUCCACAAAUACAAAGUGCUCAGGUUAAGUCUAAUGACUUUUGUUCUAUUGAUCUAUAUUUCUGGUACAUUGCUGAUCUGCAGAAAUCUACAACUUUAAUUCUAUGGUGAAAUUCUAUGGAACAGCACUCCUAGGACAAGCCUCCUGUUGGCAUACUUCUCAUUAAUGGGUGCUCCAGAAGGCGUAUUACGGAGUUGUUGACAUGUCCAUGACAGAUUUGCACAAUGUCUGCUGGCCAUAGAUGCAAA
This is a long non-coding RNA of Xenopus laevis (African clawed frog), 2703 nucleotides long. RefSeq lists it as uncharacterized. NCBI's taxonomy places the organism in Eukaryota, Metazoa, Chordata, Amphibia, Anura, Pipidae. The record is from RefSeq and is a predicted model, not a curated record. The transcript is spliced from 3 exons.